Salvelinus namaycush (lake trout) is the source of this 705-nucleotide long non-coding RNA. RefSeq lists it as uncharacterized. The record is from RefSeq and is a predicted model, not a curated record. Lineage: Eukaryota; Metazoa; Chordata; Actinopteri; Salmoniformes; Salmonidae. The transcript is spliced from 5 exons.
UGGAAAAUAACACAAUAUGACUCACUGUAGCUACAAUAAACUCUCACAUUUAUUAAAGUUAACCACCGCUAACCUAAAUAAACCUACAUUGUUACGGACAGGAUAUUCAACAUCCACCACUACGCUGCAAAUAUGUCAUACGUUUUCAUAAGACCUCAGGUCCUGAGAGGGCGUUGCAGGAGAGACAGAAGCAGCACAUGGCACGCAAAAAAAACCAUUGCUGGAGUGAAACAAUGAAUUUGGCCGUUGGAUUCGCAGCUAAUGAUCCAACAAUCUCUGAGACCACUUGUGAAUUUUGGGAUUCCUUGUAUGUCCAUGGAGUUUCUGGUCGAGGAUGUAGCACCCAUUGUCUGGUAGAUGGGGGACUGCUGGAGUACCUGGCUAUUGACAUGCCACCUGGAACUGGAGAUGUUCAGUUAUCAAUCACUCAGAAUAUCCCAAUAGCAGGAGCAGUGAUUGUGUCCACUCCUCAGGAUAUUGCCUUGCUGGAUGCACGCAGAGGAGCAUAAAUGUUCAGAAAAGUCAAUAUCCCAGUAAGAGCAUUGGAUGCUAAAUGCCACUUUGUAUCAACUCCACAUAAUUAUGAAAAAGGUCUUACUUAAAUUAUUUUCAAAUGACCUUGGUAAGGACAAAAUACACAUUUGUGAGAUUGAGCUACAUUUGAAGUCGGAAGUUUACAUACACUUAGGUUGGAGUCAUUAAAAC